This 2928-nucleotide ribosomal RNA is filed under the name Salmonella enterica subsp. enterica serovar Enteritidis str. SA20093977. RNAcentral describes it as "bacterial LSU rRNA". It matches the Rfam family "Bacterial large subunit ribosomal RNA". The record is from RNAcentral. Lineage: Bacteria; Pseudomonadati; Pseudomonadota; Gammaproteobacteria; Enterobacterales; Enterobacteriaceae. RNAcentral also lists the same sequence under 1 other name.
GGGUUGUGAGGUUAAGCGACUAAGCGUACACGGUGGAUGCCCUGGCAGUCAGAGGCGAUGAAGGGCGUACUAAUCUGCGAUAAGCGCCGGUAAGGUGAUAUGAACCGUUAUAACCGGCGAUACCCGAAUGGGGAAACCCAGUGUGAUUCGUCACACUAUCAUUAACUGAAUCCAUAGGUUAAUGAGGCGAACCGGGGGAACUGAAACAUCUAAGUACCCCGAGGAAAAGAAAUCAACCGAGAUUCCCCCAGUAGCGGCGAGCGAACGGGGAGGAGCCCAGAGCCUGAAUCAGCAUGUGUGUUAGUGGAAGCGUCUGGAAAGGCGCGCGAUACAGGGUGACAGCCCCGUACACAAAAGCGCAUGUGCUGUGAGCUCGAUGAGUAGGGCGGGACACGUGGUAUCCUGUCUGAAUAUGGGGGGACCAUCCUCCAAGGCUAAAUACUCCUGACUGACCGAUAGUGAACCAGUACCGUGAGGGAAAGGCGAAAAGAACCCCGGCGAGGGGAGUGAAAAAGAACCUGAAACCGUGUACGUACAAGCAGUGGGAGNNNNNNNNNNNNNGUGUGACUGCGUACCUUUUGUAUAAUGGGUCAGCGACUUAUAUUCUGUAGCAAGGUUAACCGAAUAGGGGAGCCGGAGGGAAACCGAGUCUUAAUUGGGCGUUAAGUUGCAGGGUAUAGACCCGAAACCCGGUGAUCUAGCCAUGGGCAGGUUGAAGGUUGGGUAACACUAACUGGAGGACCGAACCGACUAAUGUUGAAAAAUUAGCGGAUGACCUGUGGCUGGGGGUGAAAGGCCAAUCAAACCGGGAGAUAGCUGGUUCUCCCCGAAAGCUAUUUAGGUAGCGCCUCGUGAAUUCAUCUCCGGGGGUAGAGCACUGUUUCGGCUAGGGGGCCAUCCCGGCUUACCAACCCGAUGCAAACUGCGAAUACCGGAGAAUGUUAUCACGGGAGACACACGGCGGGUGCUAACGUCCGUCGUGAAGAGGGAAACAACCCAGACCGCCAGCUAAGGUCCCAAAGUCAUGGUUAAGUGGGAAACGAUGUGGGAAGGCCCAGACAGCCAGGAUGUUGGCUUAGAAGCAGCCAUCAUUUAAAGAAAGCGUAAUAGCUCACUGGUCGAGUCGGCCUGCGCGGAAGAUGUAACGGGGCUAAACCAUGCACCGAAGCUGCGGCAGCGACACUGUGUGUUGUUGGGUAGGGGAGCGUUCUGUAAGCCUGCGAAGGUGGCCUGUGAGGGUUGCUGGAGGUAUCAGAAGUGCGAAUGCUGACAUAAGUAACGAUAAAGCGGGUGAAAAGCCCGCUCGCCGGAAGACCAAGGGUUCCUGUCCAACGUUAAUCGGGGCAGGGUGAGUCGACCCCUAAGGCGAGGCCGAAAGGCGUAGUCGAUGGGAAACGGGUUAAUAUUCCCGUACUUGGUGUUACUGCGAAGGGGGGACGGAGAAGGCUAUGUUGGCCGGGCGACGGUUGUCCCGGUUUAAGCGUGUAGGUGUGUGUUCCAGGUAAAUCCGGUUCACUUUAACACUGAGGCGUGACGACGAGGCACUACGGUGCUGAAGCAACAAAUGCCCUGCUUCCAGGAAAAGCCUCUAAGCAUCAGGUAACAUCAAAUCGUACCCCAAACCGACACAGGUGGUCAGGUAGAGAAUACCAAGGCGCUUGAGAGAACUCGGGUGAAGGAACUAGGCAAAAUGGUGCCGUAACUUCGGGAGAAGGCACGCUGACACGUAGGUGAAGUGAUUUACUCAUGGAGCUGAAGUCAGUCGAAGAUACCAGCUGGCUGCAACUGUUUAUUAAAAACACAGCACUGUGCAAACACGAAAGUGGACGUAUACGGUGUGACGCCUGCCCGGUGCCGGAAGGUUAAUUGAUGGGGUCAGCGCAAGCGAAGCUCCUGAUCGAAGCCCCGGUAAACGGCGGCCGUAACUAUAACGGUCCUAAGGUAGCGAAAUUCCUUGUCGGGUAAGUUCCGACCUGCACGAAUGGCGUAAUGAUGGCCAGGCUGUCUCCACCCGAGACUCAGUGAAAUUGAACUCGCUGUGAAGAUGCAGUGUACCCGCGGCAAGACGGAAAGACCCCGUGAACCUUUACUAUAGCUUGACACUGAACAUUGAGCCUUGAUGUGUAGGAUAGGUGGGAGGCUUUGAAGUGUGGACGCCAGUCUGCAUGGAGCCGACCUUGAAAUACCACCCUUUAAUGUUUGAUGUUCUAACGUGGACCCGUUACCCGGGUUGCGGACAGUGUCUGGUGGGUAGUUUGACUGGGGCGGUCUCCUCCUAAAGAGUAACGGAGGAGCACGAAGGUUGGCUAAUCCUGGUCGGACAUCAGGAGGUUAGUGCAAUGGCAUAAGCCAGCUUGACUGCGAGCGUGACGGCGCGAGCAGGUGCGAAAGCAGGUCAUAGUGAUCCGGUGGUUCUGAAUGGAAGGGCCAUCGCUCAACGGAUAAAAGGUACUCCGGGGAUAACAGGCUGAUACCGCCCAAGAGUUCAUAUCGACGGCGGUGUUUGGCACCUCGAUGUCGGCUCAUCACAUCCUGGGGCUGAAGUAGGUCCCAAGGGUAUGGCUGUUCGCCAUUUAAAGUGGUACGCGAGCUGGGUUUAGAACGUCGUGAGACAGUUCGGUCCCUAUCUGCCGUGGGCGCUGGAGAACUGAGGGGGGCUGCUCCUAGUACGAGAGGACCGGAGUGGACGCAUCACUGGUGUUCGGGUUGUCAUGCCAAUGGCACUGCCCGGUAGCUAAAUGCGGAAGAGAUAAGUGCUGAAAGCAUCUAAGCACGAAACUUGCCCCGAGAUGAGUUCUCCCUGAGACUUAAAGUCUCCUGAAGGAACGUUGAAGACGACGACGUUGAUAGGCCGGGUGUGUAAGCGCAGCGAUGCGUUGAGCUAACCGGUACUAAUGAACCGUGAGGCUUAACCUUACAACGCCGAAG